UACGUAGGGUGCAGGCGUUAAUCGGAAUUACUGGGCGUAAAGCGUGCGCAGGCGGUUAUGUAAGACAGAUGUGAAAUCCCCGGGCUCAACCUGGGAACUGCAUUUGUGACUGCAUAGCUUGAGUGCGGCAGAGGGGGAUGGAAUUCCGCGUGUAGCAGUGAAAUGCGUAGAUAUGCGGAGGAACACCGAUGGCGAAGGCAAUCCCCUGGGCCUGCACUGACGCUCAUGCACGAAAGCGUGGGGAGCAAACAGG
Molecule: ribosomal RNA, 253 nt
Filed under: uncultured bacterium
Lineage: Bacteria
Description: partial 16S ribosomal RNA
Rfam family: Bacterial small subunit ribosomal RNA
Source: RNAcentral